Molecule: ribosomal RNA, 449 nt
Filed under: uncultured bacterium
Lineage: Bacteria
Description: partial 16S ribosomal RNA
Rfam family: Bacterial small subunit ribosomal RNA
Source: RNAcentral
AAUGAACGCUGGCGGCAGGCCUAACACAUGCAAGUCGAACGGGUCCUUCGGGACUAGUGGCGGACGGGUGAGUAACGCGUGGGAACGUGCCCCUUGGUACGGAAUAGCCCUGGGAAACUGGGAGUAAUACCGUAUGUGGUCGAGAGACGAAAGAUUUAUCGCCAAGGGAUCGGCCCGCGUUGGAUUAGGUAGUUGGUGGGGUAAUGGCCUACCAAGCCGACGAUCCAUAGCUGGUUUGAGAGGAUGAUCAGCCACACUGGGACUGAGACACGGCCCAGACUCCUACGGGAGGCAGCAGUGGGGAAUCUUAGACAAUGGGGGAAACCCUGAUCUAGCCAUGCCGCGUGAUCGAUGAAGGCCUUAGGGUCGUAAAGAUCUUUCAGAUGGGAAGAUAAUGACGGUACCAUCAGAAGAAGCCCCGGCUAACUCCGUGCCAGCAGCCGCGGUAA